AUUACCCAAUCCCGAUUCGGGGAGGUAGUGACAAUAAAUAACAAUACAGGGCCAACGGUCUUGUUAUUGGAAUGAGAACAAUUUAAAUAACUUAACGAGGAUCAAUUAGAGGGCAAGUCUGGUGCCAGCAGCCGCGGUAAUUCCAGCUCUAAUAGCGUAUAUUAAAGUUGUUGCAGUUAAAAAGCUCGUAGUCGGAUGUCGGGCUCGGGCAGGCUGUCGGCUUCGGUCGGACGGCAGGCUCGGGUCUUUCUGCCUGAGGAUCCCGUUGCACUUAAUUGUGGGGCGUGGGGACGCAGGCCGUUUACUUUGAAAAAAUUAGAGUGUUCAAAGCAGGCCUACGCUUGAAUACAUUAGCAUGGAAUAAUGGAAUAGGACUUUGGUGCUAUUUUGUUGGUUUAUGGGACCGAAGUAAUGAUUAACAGGGACAGUUGGGGCCGUUUAUAUUUCGUUGUCAGAGGUGAAAUUCUUGGAUUUACGAAAGAUAAACUUCUGCGAAAGCAUUCGGCAAGGAUGUUUUCAUUGAUCAAGAACGAAAGUUAGGGGAUCGAAGACGAUCAAAUACCGUCGUAGUCUUAACCAUAAACUAUGCCGACUAGGGAUCAGUGGAUGUCAAUUUGCGACUCCAUUGGCACCUUGUGAGAAAUCAAAGUUUUUGGGUUCCGGGGGGAGUAUGGUCGCAAGGCUGAAACUUAAAGGAAUUGACGGAAGGGCACCACCAGGAGUGGAGCCUGCGGCUUAAUUUGACUCAACACGGGGAAACUUACCAGGUCCAGACAUAGUAAGGAUUGACAGAUUGAAA
This 799-nucleotide ribosomal RNA is filed under the name uncultured Cryptomonadaceae. RNAcentral describes it as "SSU rRNA". It matches the Rfam family "Eukaryotic small subunit ribosomal RNA", at positions 440 to 1253 of the family's 1831-position model. Lineage: Eukaryota; Cryptophyceae; Cryptomonadales; Cryptomonadaceae. The record is from RNAcentral.